CGAAAGCUAUUUAGGUAGCGCCUCGUGAAUUCAUCUCCGGGGGUAGAGCACUGUUUCGGCUAGGGGGCCAUCCCGGCUUACCAACCCGAUGCAAACUGCGAAUACCGGAGAAUGUUAUCACGGGAGACACACGGCGGGUGCUAACGUCCGUCGUGAAGAGGGAAACAACCCAGACCGCCAGCUAAGGUCCCAAAGUCAUGGUUAAGUGGGAAACGAUGUGGGAAGGCCCAGACAGCCAGGAUGUUGGCUUAGAAGCAGCCAUCAUUUAAAGAAAGCGUAAUAGCUCACUGGUCGAGUCGGCCUGCGCGGAAGAUGUAACGGGGCUAAACCAU
Molecule: ribosomal RNA, 332 nt
Filed under: Salmonella enterica
Lineage: Bacteria; Pseudomonadati; Pseudomonadota; Gammaproteobacteria; Enterobacterales; Enterobacteriaceae
Also listed under: 2 other names
Description: partial 23S ribosomal RNA
Rfam family: Bacterial large subunit ribosomal RNA
Source: RNAcentral